AUUGCUAAAGUUAAAUGUUGUUUAAAAUAUAAUAAACACUAAAUGUAUGACGUAACUGAAGUCCCUAUAGGCCUACUUUGAAAUAUGUAUAUGUAACUUGGCUAUAAAUAACUCUCGUUCAGGCCGUUGUAAAUAUUGCGUCACUCAUGAGAACCGGUACCGGCCUAAAAUUUCCUGCUGGGACAUAUUAAAAUCAUGUGGUUCUACUCAGCUUUUCCACUGAAAUUCGUGGUAAUAGGACCGAUCUUGCCUUUAACUUAAUUUGAUAUGCGUUCACGUUCUUUUGUAUUAACAGCAUUUUGUUGGUCGGAAUGGGCCGACAGCAAAUUAUCCAGAUCCUGUUCAGGCUGACGGUUCUGUAAGCACGCCAGCUAGAAAACCUAGAAAAAGGCGGGUUUCCAACAUAGAAGGGCCUCACAGUAAAAAAAGGAUUCCCUUAAGUGAUAACACUGAAAAAGAAAAUUGUUCAAAUGCAGAACAGAAUGAAAAUAUUGAAGAGGAGUCAUGCAAUACUUCAUCUUUUGGCACUCGGACAGCUCAUACAUGGGUUUCACCUAUGGAUGUUCUCGCUCUAACAGCUGAACUUCAUCAGUUGCGGUCAAAAGUUGAAAGACAGGAAUCAACUAUACAUGAUUUAAAAGAAGAGAAAGCCACUGCAACAGUGUUUGGUGUUACAGAAGUGUUAAAAAACAAGAACAAAUCAAAAACUUGUUCAGAUAUUACACUGGUAUAACACAUGAACGUUUUCUGGGUUUGUUGAACUUUCUUGUUCCUCCCAUGUUUACUUUGAAUUAUGAGGCAGGUCGCUCGGAUAUUAAGGAUAUGUCAAAUGAAGACUGUCUGUUUCUAACAUUGUGCCGUCUCCGCCAUAAUUUUGGUCUUAAAGACUUAGCCAUGAGAUUUGGACUCAAAUUACAGUCAGCUGGCGUAGUGUUCAAUACAUGGAUUGAUCAUAUGUACUUUAAACUGGGUCAGUUGUCUAUAUGGCCUCACAGGGACACGAUUAUUGCCAACAUGCCAACAUGCCAACAGACUUCAAUAAAGACUUUCCCACUACAUUGGUGAUUAUUGACGGUACAGAGCUUAAAACACAAACGCCAUGUGCUCUCGGCCUACAGAGUCAGCUAUACAGCGACUACAAAUCAAGCACAACCCUGAAAGGGCUUAUUGGUUGUGACCCAAGUGGAUCAGUCAUAUUUGUGUCCGAAUUACAUUCUGGGUCAAUAUCAGACUAGGCCAUUACAGAAGACAGUGGUUUUUAUAAAUUGAUAAACACUUUGAAAUCCAAUGGCUUCAUGUUAGACGGUGAUGGUGUAAUGGCAGAUUAAGGGUUCACCAUUGAAAAUGAGCUUAAAAAUCUUGGACUGCGUCUCAAUAUUCCACCCUUUGCAAAGAGUGGUAGUCAAAUGUCAGCCUCAGAAAUUCAGGAAACACAAAAAAUUGCGAAACAUCGGGUUCACAUUGAACGAAUCAUAGCCAAAGUGAAAACAUUUAAGAUUGUCUCACACCAAGUACCAACUAGUCAUUUUCCAAAAAUUAACAAAAUCUGGUCUUUGUGUUGUUACCUUACUCUUUUCCAGGAUGUUUUUGUGAAAGAUAAAGAUAAUCAAUAGAUGUCUUGUUAGAUUUAUAUGUUUCAGGGUUCUUUGUUGAGUAUAUAUGGUUAGCAUUAUGAAAUGCCUGUAGAUACAGACUGCAAUUCAAAAUAGAACAUUUAAUUUGACAUGUAUGUACAUGUAUUUAAAAAAAAAAUUACCUGAUAUGACAGUAUUGAUCCAAUUUGAACAUCUCCAAAAAUUGUGCUAACUUUUGGAAUUUUAUUGCUGUCACUCGCGAGAUACUGUAGUGGCGUUCCAUUCAAAGAUGAUAAGUGUUUUAAGUCGUCUUUUGUGAUAUCUGGAAUCCUGGGGAAAAACAGUAAAGACUUGUGUAUUGUGUAUUGUUUAGCAAUUGAGAUAAAUUUAUUGAUUGUGAAAUUUAUA
This is a long non-coding RNA of Pecten maximus, 1982 nucleotides long. RefSeq lists it as uncharacterized. The record is from RefSeq and is a predicted model, not a curated record. NCBI's taxonomy places the organism in Eukaryota, Metazoa, Mollusca, Bivalvia, Pectinida, Pectinidae. The transcript has 3 exons.